This 5666-nucleotide long non-coding RNA is filed under the name Brassica napus (rape). Its description in RNAcentral is "long non-coding RNA (BNAP_LNC021196)". Lineage: Eukaryota; Viridiplantae; Streptophyta; Magnoliopsida; Brassicales; Brassicaceae. The record is from RNAcentral.
UGCAGCGACUCUUCACAGCUUUGCGCACACUUCACACUUCAGCUUCACCUCUUCAUGGAACUGGUUUGAAGUCUCCCCCUCUCAACUGACUUCUCAGCCAUCUUAGAGAAGCUAGGACACGACCAGAUCAUCUUCAAAACACCAGUGAGCCUUAUCAACACUUCACACACGGCUUGCCCUCCUCAUAGACCUGGUUUGGAUCUCCCCCUCUCAGCAGACUUCUCAGCCACCUUAGAGAAGCUAGGAAAUGACCAGGAACACCUUUAGUGAGGCUCAAGCAAUGGUACCUGAUACAUUAUCCCAAAGGUGCAUCAGUACCUAUCAAAAACAAGACAAUGAAUAUCCUGCAUCACACUUGAUACACACAAUCCCAUAAUUCAAUCAUGAUCAUCUUAAGUAUCUUUUCAAGGAGAAGCUAAUGAAUAAGAUGAAUGAAAAAGAUUGAAGAAAGAGUUUAAGUUUAAGGGAACUUCCCUUGUGUUUUUGUGAGUUUCCUAACUCGGCCAAUGCACUAUCUUCAUGGCAUCAUCAACUUCUUGGAAAGGCAGAAUGGAUUCAUUAGCUUCUCUCCUCAAUCACCUCUCAUUGAAGCCGCAUUGAUGGAGAGCCUUCUUCCUCACUCGCCAAGACCGCUCUGAACAGCCUCUUACCUAGACACGCCACUGACUUGGUCCGGUUGAUGAUCCUUUGUAGAAGCCUUUGCAAAGACUUGUUACUGACCAUGGAUCAUAUGCAUUAAGACUCCCCCUCAAGCUUAGAACCGAGACUUAUAAGGAGCUAAGCUUGUGAUGAUCCUAUGCAUCUCCAUGGUCUAAUAACUAUCAUCUUUCAUGAUAGCUUUCUUCUUGUGAGUUUACUCUCUUCCUUAACCAGGAACUAGGGUGUUUGAAUCACCAUAGAGAGUCUCACAAGACACACCUCUCAUUGCAUAAUGACCCAUGCUACACUUCCUGUAGACUAAGGACUAGAUAUGUCCAAUGGUAUUAUGCAAUGGCUAUCUCUCAUUGCAUACUCAAUCACACUACACUUCCUGUAGAUUAUGGACUAACAUGUCCUAGUGAUGAUAUGCAAUGGCACAAGACCUUUGUCUUUACAUUCUUGGUUGUUGGCGAGUUACAUGUAUCACCUUCCUUGUGUACCUAACACCACCACAACUCAAUGCAAGAUCAGAUCAUCCCAUUGGGAUCAAACCAAGAUCAUCCAUCCUGUAUGAUCACCAAUGCCACAAUAAUAUAUGAUACUUGAAACAAGCUAGACAAUCAAGACAAGAAUAUGCAAAGACAAUGUAUGCUUUCAACAAUACACUGAUCCCUUUAGGUUCAAUUCAGUUUUUUUUUUUUAAAUGCAACAAUAGAUGAAUGCAUUAGAUUAUACACUAACCAUAUGAAUGAACCAGAUUCAAUUCAAAUGAACACAAGACUAGAUGAUACUUAUGCAGUCAAGGCAAUAAGUGUGACUCAAUUCAUGCUUAUGCUCACUAGUUUUAUCACAGCCAAUGAUUCAAGUAGCUUAGACAUACUUCUAAAUGCUUAUAAGACAUCACUGAUGGAUUUAACUAUGGCAUAGCAACACUCAGAACUAGACUGAGUCAAGACAAGUAGAUUUCAAUCUCUAACAAUGACAAUGCAAGUUCUAGACACUACAUUGACAUCCUAGGUUAUUAUGAUUAUUAAGUUCUCUAAAUGCAAUGCAAGCUUACAUCAGUACAUUUGAAAUUUAGGCUCAUUUUUAAAUGCAUUACUACAUGAAUGCACAAUCUUAAAUCAUUAGCUAUAUGAAUGAAACAGGUUCAAUCCAUGAUUAAUAUUAAAGCUAUGCACAACAGUUUUCAAUCAGAACCAAUGAUGCAAGCAACUUAGACAAUUUCUAAUUGAUUCAAGACUUUCAUUGAUGGAUUAAACAUAGGCAAUAGCAUCAGAUAACACUAGGAUUGAACUUAGACAGUAUGAGAUAUGCUUAUGUAUGCAAAAUAACUUAUCAAUCAUGAUGCAAGUAGCAGAGACAUUCUACUCAAUUCUACAACACAUUCAUGAUGAUUCAAGUUUAUGACCACACCCAAGACAAUGCAAUAAACAGACCGUGAUAUUCUGGGACUCUAGACAUUACUUACUAUCAAUAAGACAAUGCAGCAGCAAAACAAUUUCAGUGCAAUUAGCCUAGACAUUCUACUAGAAGCUAUAAACUCUUAAUGGAAUUAGGGAAAGCACAUAGUAUAAUCAGGAGAUAAACCUAUCAAGACAUAUUAAGAUAGAUGAGAUUAGGUUUACUCCCUUGGUUAAGAUGAUAAGGAGUGGUUCUCAAAGUUACCACUUGAAUCCUUACUUCUUCUUCUUCUCUUAUUGCAAUCACCCUUCUGAAUUCACCACCAUGAUGGAAUGCUUGUGGAUGCUUCAGCUACUUCUUCAAUCACCUCACAAUAGAAGCCGCCUUGAUAGAGUAGCCUUCUUCUUCACACAGCCAAGAGUGCUCUGUCUUAGUUUGAGCACCCUCUUGAAUAGGCACGCCACUGCCUAGACCCGGUUGGCUUCUUCUUCUGGUACUUGCAAUGUUAAGAAGAAGAACACCAGUGAGUUUUACAACCAUCUGUGCUUCUCCCUUCUUGUAACACCUCUCCAUUGUACACACAAUGGGCAUCAUUCUUUCUCUUUCAACUCGGAUUUGAUGAUGAACUAGGAACACCUUUUGUGAACCUGAAACAUCACUCAAACUCUAGCAAAGAUAAGACACAAUUGCAUUGGGAUCAAUCCUUGACUUCAUCAAGUUUGAUCACCAAUGUCUCAAGCUUUAUAGCAUUAGAUAGAAUCAAGACAAUGUCAAGUUCUUAUCUAUGCAAGCAACCAUUCUCUAAAUACUAAGCAAGACCUUAUCAGAUUCAAGUCAAAGUAUUUAGGCAAUUUCAACCAUUCCGUAAUAUGCAACUUAGACUUUAAUCUAAAUGCAACAAUAAACAGGGGCAGUAUGCAUUAAUCUUACUCAGUUUCUAACUCAUGAAGGCAAGCAUGAUUAGAUAAUACAAUCUAUCAUCUUAACAAGACAUGUUUAUUUAGAACUGACAUUAAGCAUUUAACCAUUUUCAAUAGUACUGAUGUCAAAUCUUGAUUAACAACUUAUCAAGUUUGAUUCCUACUAUCACAAGCAAUGCAACAGAUAGACACAAGGCAUUACCAAGUUCUAUUCUUUGCAAGCUAACUCUCUAAGUACAAGCAGGAUCCUAACAGAUUCAAGACAAGUUACUUAGGCACUCUUAAGAGCUUCUUUACUCAGCACUUAGACAUGAAUCUAAUGCUUCAAUGUCAGACAGCCAUUUGACAGUAUGCACUGACCUUAACCAGUUUCAAUUUAUGAAUGCAACAAUAUAAUCCAUCACACAUUCAUUUAUAACUUAGGCUAAGCAUUUCUAUCAUCACUUAACAUCAGACAAUGCAUUAUUUUCAAUCUGUUUUCAGUUCAUGAGCUUCAAACAAUACCAUUUCACAUUUAGCAAACUCAUUACUUAACAGGAGCAAGCAUUUUACUCUUUAAACACUAAACAAGCCUUUAAAGCAUCCUGGGACAGAUUCAACUAAUUUUUAUUUAGCAAUCACACAUUAUCCUCAGGUUUUUCAAUCAAUACACAUCACAAUAACCAGGCACAGUCACAAGUUCAUUUUUAAGAGAGAUAGGAUUAGCUUACAAACAAGGAACUAGCGCUAGUUCCUUGAGCCUCCUUUGCAACCGGUCAUGCUCUUUUAAUGGAUUGGAGAUGUUGAAUCUUCACCCAACAGCCCCUCCUGGUGUUCAUGAUCGCUACUUGAACUUUCACCUCCAAAGGUUCCUCCUUUCUUCAUCUCUUGAACUCGCCAGCUUCUGGAACUAGGGAAAGAACUCUUCUUCAAAGGUUUCCUCUUGGACAGAAGGAAUGGCUCGCCUUGUAUGGACUGGAACAGGAAGGAACCGCCAUGAUAAACCUCCAUAAUAGCUUCAGACAUCUUCUUCUUGAAGUGAGAGAGCUGGCUGGACAGAUCUUCAUGGUUUGGCUUCAUGGUGAGACAGACUUGUGACUUGAAUGCGGAAGCUACAGCUCAGGUUCUGAUGAACCUGGCUCUGAUACCCUUGAAUGCGGAAGCUACAGCUCAGGUUCUGAUGAACCUGGCUCUGAUACCAUGAGAUUUUAUAAGGAUUCACUCAAGGUGUGUGUGUGAGAAAGUGUUUAGGAGAGUUUAUGUGAACAGAUUUGAGACUUAGGAGUAUGGGAGAGAUUUAGAGUAUGAAGGAGACUAGGUAACAAGAUUAAAGAGACUGAGAGACUUAGAGAAUAGAUUAGAGACUUAGUAUCAAGAACAUACUUUCAUAGAACAUGAAGGAGAAGGGUUUCCCCCCUUACUCUCUUGCUUAAUCAAAUCGCAUACAAGAGGCUUUUAUAAGCCUUUAUAUGUCACAAAGACUUAACCUAAAUCCUAAGGACAAGAAUACAAGAUAGAUUGAAUGGCUAGGAUGAGAGAAGAGUGGUCUUUGAUGUUCUGGUGAUAGCUGGCGACUUUUGACUGAAUGGAGAGCUCAGAUUGCUUCAUUUGAAUGAAGGGAAGAGAUUGGUCUUGCUGUAAAGGUAAAGCACCUUUACCUUUCCAGCUUGCACAUACAGCUCACUCUUAUCCCUUUGGUAUAUUCUCCUUGCCUCUCACACUCCAACGGUCACUAUAGGAACCUUAACCCGCGCCCACACAUUGCACAACUCUGAGCAAGGCUGAUCCGGGUGAUGGCCAAACCGGAUUGGAUGUACGGUCUCUUGUACGGCCUUGAGGUCCGUACACUCGCCCUAUAUCUGCACCUUCAUCCAAACAUCUUCUAUGAUUGACCCAUACACCUUCUUGGAUCGCCCUAGGCCGUACCAUGGCCGUACUGGCCCUAUCUUUGCACCAUACUUCCAUCUUCUCUCUAACUCCUCCAAAGCCUUCACAUGAUCAGUCUAAGUCUUUCCUUGACUUAACUUCACAUAACUACUUCAGAACAUCUCUGAAGCUUGAUUGAACUCUUCUUGACAUCUUCUAGAGCUUGCCCUAUUAUUUGUACAAGCUCCAUCUUCUCUUCAGUUCAACACUCCCCCUCAAGCUUGACUUUAGGAGAUCCUAAGCCAAGCUUGGAACUCUGAAGAGUCUCUCUCAUUAAAAACCUUACAAGGAAAACCCAUUGGGACAAAACCUUGCAAGGUAAAAAGAGUAGAGCUCUCCAAAGCCUAGGGAUUGGCCAGUGAGCUCUUGUGCCUUAGAACCAAUGUGGUUGGACACAAGAAGCUCUGGAUCACGGCCUAACAGGUGCAGCGACUCUUCACAGCUUUGCGCACACUUCACACUUCAGCUUCACCUCUUCAUGGAACUGGUUUGAAGUCUCCCCCUCUCAACUGACUUCUCAGCCAUCUUAGAGAAGCUAGGACACGACCAGAUCAUCUUCAAAACACCAGUGAGCCUUAUCAACACUUCACACACGGCUUGCCCUCCUCAUAGACCUGGUUUGGAUCUCCCCCUCUCAGCAGACUUCUCAGCCACCUUAGAGAAGCUAGGAAAUGACCAGGAACACCUUUAGUGAGGCUCAAGCAAUGGUACCUGAUACAUUAUCCCAAAGGUGCAUCAGUACCUAUCAAAAACAAGACAAUGAAUAUCCUGCAUCACACUUGAUACACACAAUCCCAU